This is a long non-coding RNA of Ananas comosus (pineapple), 1263 nucleotides long. RefSeq lists it as uncharacterized. The transcript has 2 exons. The record is from RefSeq and is a predicted model, not a curated record. NCBI's taxonomy places the organism in Eukaryota, Viridiplantae, Streptophyta, Magnoliopsida, Poales, Bromeliaceae.
CCGGCGAGAAGUAUCAGAUUCUGAAUUGCUAAAUUGAAAAUUGUAUUAGUGUUGGGGGACCAAAAUGUGAUGGUAAUUUUAGCUUUUGUGAGGGAGUUUUUGGCAAUUGUUUGAACUUAUCUCUUAACUCCAGCACCUCAGCACCCUCCAUACGUAUUGGAGCUGCUUCCUCUCCUCCUUAUCUCGUUCAUUCUCCUUCUCUUUCUCUAACCUAAGGUGAUGAUGUUUGAAGGAGUUUCUUGGUGGAUUUAGGUGUUUUGAGCUAAGAGGAAGGCUUUUGAGCUGGGAAACCAGCUGGUGAAGCCUUGAAACUGAGGUAAGAUGGUGUAUUUCCUGGUUAGGGUUGUGCUAUUUACCCUUAAAGAGAUUUGAGCCAUGGAUUUUGGAUUCUAAAGCUUGAAGAGGCUAUGUAAUCUUAGAAACUGCACUAUGGACAGCAUAUAUAUAUGUAUGUGAGUUGUUUGUUAGAGAGGAACCUGAGGUAGGUUAGCCAUAAUUCCUAGUUAUGGUUUAUGGUAUUUAACCUAGAGAAGGGGUUUAGCUUGGAAUUUCUAGGUUACUGGCACUUGUUUUGCCAUGAUAACCUAGAGAAAAGAAGAAGCUAUGUGUUGUAUGUGUGUUAACUUCGACAGCUGGGGAAUCAAGGUGAAUUAACUUGUAAUUCCUGGUUAGGGAUUGAUGUAAAUCUUUGAAAUUACCUGGUUUUAAGGUUGUUGGGUUGUUAAGAAUUGGAGUAUUCUCUAUAUGUUUUUGUAGAACCUAUGUAGAAGCAGUUUAUAUUAAGCUUACGCUUAAAAAUGCGACUUUGUAGGAUUGACGCUCUAGUUUGAAAUUGAUCGCAUAGAAUCCUAAUUGAGGAUAAAAUCGACGUGUUGGAAAGCUCAGAUCGGCGUUCCGAUGAGCCUACGGCAAGCUAGUGAGAAAAAAUCUCAUUUUAGCUUCGUUUGUCGCGAGUGAGGAUUGUGAUGGCUCAUAAAUCGCGGGAAGUGGAUUUCUCACAUUCCGGCAUCAUUUAAAGGUUCCAGCAAGUGCGGUGUGGUUGAGGAUCGUGACCGGGACAACGCUCUAUAGAUAGCGGACAUCUAUUGAAUAUAGUGAUACCUUGUACAUUUCAUCUAUUUAUUAUAGUUGAUGAAAGAAAAUGUAAACUAUUCAUUUGAGAGAUGACAAAUGUAUAUAUUAAAGAAUGUAUGUAUGUAAACAAAUAGCAAGCUUUGUAUUUGAUUUAAAGUAAUCAAGAUACAAUGUGUGAAUGUUUUAGUU